Molecule: ribosomal RNA, 253 nt
Filed under: uncultured bacterium
Lineage: Bacteria
Description: partial 16S ribosomal RNA
Rfam family: Bacterial small subunit ribosomal RNA
Source: RNAcentral
UACGGGGGGGGCAAGCGUUGUUCGGAAUUACUGGGCGUAAAGGGCGCGUAGGCGGUGUGUCAAGUCAGGCGUGAAAGCCCCGGGCUCAACCUGGGAACAGCGCUUGAGACUGGCACGCUCGAGUUCGGGAGAGGAUGGUGGAAUUCCCAGUGUAGAGGUGAAAUUCGUAGAUAUUGGGAAGAACACCGAUGGCGAAGGCAGCCAUCUGGACCGACACUGACGCUGAGGAGCGAAAGCGUGGGGAGCGAACAGG